RNAcentral lists this ribosomal RNA (472 nucleotides) under uncultured bacterium. RNAcentral's name for it is "bacterial SSU rRNA". It matches the Rfam family "Bacterial small subunit ribosomal RNA", at positions 335 to 801 of the family's 1533-position model. The record is from RNAcentral.
ACUCCUACGGGAGGCAGCAGUAGGGAAUCUUCCACAAUGGGCGCAAGCCUGAUGGAGCAACACCGCGUGAGUGAAGAAGGGUUUCGGCUCGUAAAGCUCUGUUGUUAAAGAAGAACACGUAUGAGAGUAACUGUUCAUACGUUGACGGUAUUUAACCAGAAAGUCACGGCUAACUACGUGCCAGCAGCCGCGGUAAUACGUAGGUGGCAAGCGUUACCCGGAUUUAUUGGGCGUAAAGAGAGUGCAGGCGGUUUCUAAGUCUGAUGUGAAAGCCUUCGGCUUAACCGGAGAAGUGCAUCGGAAACUGGAUAACUUGAGUGCAGAAGAGGGUAGUGGAACUCCAUGUGUAGCGGUGGAAUGCGUAGAUAUAUGGAAGAACACCAGUGGCGAAGGCGGCUACCUGGUCUGCAACUGACGCUGAGACUCGAAAGCAUGGGUAGCGAACAGGAUUAGAUACCCUGGUAGGAUAGCC